CCUACGGGAGGCAGCAGUAGGGAAUAUUGCUCAAUGGGCGAAAGCCUGACGCAGCAACGCCGCGUGAAGGAUGACGGUUUUCGGAUUGUAAACUUCUUUUGUUAGAGACGAAAAUGACGGUAUCUAAUGAAUAAUCACCGGCUAACUCCGUGCCAGCAGCCGCGGUAAUACGGAGGGUGCAAGCGGUACUCGGAAUUACUGGGGGUAAAGAGCGCGUAGGCGGGAUAGCAAGUCAGAUGGGAAAUCCUAUGGCUUAACCAGAGAACUGCAUUUGAAACUGUUAUUCUUGAGUAUGGGAGAGGUAGGUGGAAUUCUGGGUGUAGGGGUGAAAUGCGUAGAGAUCAAGAGGAACACUCAUGGCGAAGGCGACCUGCUAGAACAUAACUGACGCUGAGGCGCGAAAGCGUGGGGAGCAAACAGGAUUAGAUACCCCGGUAGUC
This 440-nucleotide ribosomal RNA is filed under the name uncultured bacterium. Its description in RNAcentral is "partial 16S ribosomal RNA". It matches the Rfam family "Bacterial small subunit ribosomal RNA", at positions 338 to 795 of the family's 1533-position model. The record is from RNAcentral.